This 372-nucleotide ribosomal RNA is filed under the name uncultured Desulfobulbus sp. Its description in RNAcentral is "bacterial SSU rRNA". It matches the Rfam family "Bacterial small subunit ribosomal RNA", at positions 1013 to 1382 of the family's 1533-position model. Lineage: Bacteria; Pseudomonadati; Thermodesulfobacteriota; Desulfobulbia; Desulfobulbales; Desulfobulbaceae. The record is from RNAcentral.
CCAUCUGGAAGAAUCUGGAGACAGGUGCUGCAUGGCUGUCGUCAGCUCGUGUCGUGAGAUGUUGGGUUAAGUCCCGCAACGAGCGCAACCCUUGCCUUUAGUUGCCAGCAGUUCGGCUGGGCACUCUAAAGGGACUGCCGGUGUUAAACCGGAGGAAGGUGGGGAUGGACGUCAAGUCCUCAUGGCCUUUAUGACCAGGGCUACACACGUACUACAAUGGCCGAUACAAAGGGCAGCGACAACUGCGAGGUGAAGCCAAUCCCGUAAAAAUCGGUCUCAGUCCGGAUUGGAGUCUGCAACUCGACUCCAUGAAGUUGGAAAUCGCUAGUAAUCGUGGAUCAGCAUGCCACGGUGAAUACGUUCCCGGGCCUU